UACGUAGGGGGCAAGCGUUGUCCGGAAUUAUUGGGCGUAAAGCGCGCGCAGGCGGCUCUUUAAGUCUGGUGUAUAAGUGCGGGGCUCAACCCCGUGAGGCACUGGAAACUGGAGGGCUUGAGUGCAGAAGAGGAGAGCGGAAUUCCACGUGUAGCGGUGAAAUGCGUAGAGAUGUGGAGGAACACCAGUGGCGAAGGCGGCUCUCUGGACUGUAACUGACGCUGAGGCGCGAAAGCGUGGGGAGCAAACAGG
This 252-nucleotide ribosomal RNA is filed under the name uncultured Cohnella sp. RNAcentral's name for it is "partial 16S ribosomal RNA". It matches the Rfam family "Bacterial small subunit ribosomal RNA", at positions 524 to 776 of the family's 1533-position model. Lineage: Bacteria; Bacillati; Bacillota; Bacilli; Caryophanales; Paenibacillaceae. The record is from RNAcentral.